GCCUUCUUAGCUCAGUGGUAGAGCGUGUCACUCGUAUAUCUCGUGUAGCGUAACAAUGACAAGGUCAGUCGUUCAAGUCGGCUAGGAGGCA
Non-coding RNA from Armillaria luteobubalina, 91 nucleotides. The record is from the annotation of a GenBank genome assembly. NCBI's taxonomy places the organism in Eukaryota, Fungi, Basidiomycota, Agaricomycetes, Agaricales, Physalacriaceae.